This 446-nucleotide ribosomal RNA is filed under the name uncultured bacterium. Its description in RNAcentral is "bacterial SSU rRNA". It matches the Rfam family "Bacterial small subunit ribosomal RNA", at positions 330 to 792 of the family's 1533-position model. The record is from RNAcentral.
GCCAGACUCCUACGGGAGGCAGCAGUGGGGGAUAUUGCACAAUGGGGGAAACCCUGAUGCAGCGACGCCGCGUGAGUGAAGAAGUAUUUCGGUAUGUAAAGCUCUCUCAGCAGGGAAGAAAAAAGACGGUACCUGACUAAGAAGCCCCGGCUAACUACGUGCCAGCAGCCGCGGUAAUACGUAGGGGGCAAGCGUUAUCCGGAUUUACUGGGUGUAAAGGGAGCGUAGACGGCAAUACAAGUCGGAAGUGAAAUACCCGGGCUUAACCUGGGAACUGCUUUGGAAGCUGUAUGGCUGGAGUGCUGGAGAGGUAAGCGGAAUUCCUAGUGUAGCGGUGAAAUGCGUAGAUAUUAGGAGGAACACCAGUGGCGAAGGCGGCUUACUGGACAGUAACUGACGUUGAGGCUCGAAAGCGUGGGGAGCAAACAGGAUUAGAUACCCGAGUA